AAAAGAUAAAUUUAAUUUUAAUAAAUAUUUAAUUUAUAAAAUAUAUUUAUAUAAAUUAAAUAUAAAUAAAAUAUUUAAAUUAAUUAUAAAUUUUAAAAAAUAUAUUAAUAUUAAAUUUAAUUUAAUAUUUUUAA
RNAcentral lists this transfer RNA (134 nucleotides) under Plasmodium falciparum RAJ116. RNAcentral describes it as "tRNA-Ile". The record is from RNAcentral. Lineage: Eukaryota; Apicomplexa; Aconoidasida; Haemosporida; Plasmodiidae.